Molecule: ribosomal RNA, 1608 nt
Filed under: Triticum aestivum (bread wheat)
Lineage: Eukaryota; Viridiplantae; Streptophyta; Magnoliopsida; Poales; Poaceae
Description: partial small subunit ribosomal RNA
Source: RNAcentral
AUGAGUAAUGGCAAGCUAGCAGCGCAUGGAGUCGCACAAUCUUACACAGAACUAAUGCAACAAAUGACAGUCAUGAGUCAUUUACAAAGCGACAAUAUGGCAAUACCUAUAAACAGUUUCACAUCAUUCUUGACUGCGGGCAUAAACUCUAAGCAUCAAGCAACAGGCCCAAUUGCAAGCAGCAAUGAGCAGCAUCUCAGUAAUUGGGGACAAUAUUUUGUACCUUCAGAGCAGGAGCAUGAAGAAGACGAUGAAGCAAACAAUGAGGUUGAUGCAAGUCAUAGUGAUGCUGAAUCUGAUGUUGAGCGUGAAGAUGGUGAUAAAGGAAACAAUGAAGAUGAAGCAAAUCGCAUUGAUAGUGAAUCUGAUGGUGAGCAUGAAUUUGACUGCAACAGUGAUGAGAAUGCAAGUUAUCCAGAUGAAGCUUACACAGAAUGCAAUAGUGAUCAAAAUGAAACAGAUGUGGAGGAAGAUUACCUGGAACAAAAUACUUUAUCCUGUGAUGAGUUGUUGGUGGAACGCCAGCAUUCAGAGCUGCAAAAUUUGGAGCAAAGUUGGAACUAUCAGGAUUCAGUCUAUCAGCAGCAAAUGAUGAGAGCCGAUCAAGAAGUAAAAGCAAGGAGCUCUGAAGAAGCAUUGCAAGGCCCUGAUUAUGCAGAAACAACUGAUACAGAUGGCACUAGUGGCAGCGAUGAUUCAGAGUUUGAAGCAGAGCAGCUACAAGAGGUCCAACAACAAACAAAAAACUAUGAAAAGGAUAACAGUGCUACAUUUUUAGAAUCAAAUGAAGAGGAUCAGAAUGAAACUUUUAGUCCAUCAGGCAAGGAAAAAAAUGCAGGACCUAGUAAGGAGCAGAUGAAAGAUGAAAACAAGUUAUCUCAAGAAGAUAUAGAAUUCUUCCUUGAGAAUGACAGUAUUAAAAGGGCAAUUAAAUUAAGCCAAGAAGAUGAGAAGAAACACAUGCCAGCCCUUGGCAUGACAUUUGAAAGUGAUGCUCAUGCACACAGAUUCUACAAUGAAUAUUCAGCUAUUGCUGGGUUCUCAAUUCAGAAAGCUGCAAACUAUCACUGCCAGAAGAAAGAUGCACACAACAACAAAAUGACGAGGUUCACUAUGAAGUGUAACAGAUCUGGUAAACCUAGGAUAAGGACAAAACCAACAGCUGCAGGAGCAAAAAGGAGAAAGUAUAAGAGUGAUAAAAAUGCACCAACUGAGCUAGAGAAUACGACAGACAGAAGAAGAAACUACACAACUAAAACAGGUUGUCAAGCUCAGAUGGUUGUUACCUGGAAAUUCGAUACAACACAGUGGGUGGUGACAAGGAUUAUCAUUGAACACAAUCAUGACCUGCAUCCACCAGGGGAAGUCAGGUUCCUCAGGUCACACAAAUAUAUCACUGAUCAAGAGAAGGACUUGAUCAGAACUUGCAAACAAGUGAACGUACCAACUAGAAAGAUUAUGGCAAUAAUGGCGUUCUUUCGAGGAAGAGGUCUUUCUUCGCUGCCAUAUACAGCAAAACAGAUUAGCAACAUGGGCACGAAAAUGAGAAGAGAUAACGGAUUGAAUGACAUGAUGCAAGUGGUCUCAUUUUUUGAACAGAAAAAAUGA